Molecule: ribosomal RNA, 253 nt
Filed under: uncultured bacterium
Lineage: Bacteria
Description: partial 16S ribosomal RNA
Rfam family: Bacterial small subunit ribosomal RNA
Source: RNAcentral
UACAGAGGGUGCAAGCGUUAUUCGGAAUUAUUGGGCGUAAAGCGCAUGUAGGUGGUUUGGUAAGUCUGAUGUGAAAGCCCCGGACUCAAUUCGGGAAGUGCAUUGGAUACUGCUAGACUAGAGUAUGGGAGAGGUGAGCGGAAUUCCAGGUGUAGAGGUGAAAUUCGUAGAUAUCUGGAGGAACAACAGAGGCGAAGGCGGCUCACUGGACCAUAACUGACACUGAGAUGCGAAAGCGUGGGGAGCAAACAGG